UUUCCGUAGGUGUACCUGCGGAAGGAUCAUUAUUGGAUUUUGGAACUUCAGGCUGCUGCUGGCUCUCCUCGGAGGGCAUGUGCACGCUUGUUGUCCAUUAUUUCUCCCACUGUGCACAAAUUGUAGACCUUUCAGUAGGCCUAUGUUGUUUUUCACAAUCUCUGAAUGUAAUAGAAUGGUUUUGAAUCUUGGGAAAUACAAUACAACUUUCAGCAACGGAUCUCUUGGCUCUC
This 233-nucleotide unclassified non-coding RNA is filed under the name plant metagenome. Its description in RNAcentral is "partial contains small subunit ribosomal RNA, internal transcribed spacer 1, and 5.8S ribosomal RNA". The record is from RNAcentral.